UUAAACUUAAAAGUUACAGGCUGGGCUUCAUUAACAGAUCAUGUGAGAGAAGGUUAAACAAAAGCUGCUUGCAGAAGAGGAGAGAGGCUAUUGAAACAAUCAAAUACAGGUCUAAAGUUUGUUUUCCUGAAAAUCAGGUGCCUUGUUUACCCGGACUGCGGAUGAACAAGGGCCUCCCUUUUCCAAGACUCUGCAUCAUGGGGAGUAAUGAAGAGGACUUGUCAUUGCCUCCAGCUGCCAUUUAAAGCUGUCUCUGCUCCUUGCAGAAAACAGUGGAGAUGUUUUCCAAAGAAAAUUUCUUCAAGAUUUGAGUCUGGGUGCCAGUAGAAUACUUCUCUAAACUGCAAGAUAAUCUGUAAUGCAUCUUGGCCUUGAGCAGCAAACUUCAGAGUUUGUCUGUAUUAUGGAUUUUGAAGACAAAAUGAAAAUUGUCAUUCAUUGGUUUAUCCGCAAGAUUAUGUUUCAGCAGCUCUUCUCUGAAGCUAUAAGAUCAGCUUCCAGUUUCAGUUAUUUCACAGUCAGGAGCACAGCAUUAUUUGGAGAAUUGCUGAUGACAGACUCACAUUUGCUGUUUUGGCUUCCAUUAUGAAAAAACCACAAAGGAAAAGCUAUGUAGCAAACUACUUUGGCUCGCCAUUUGUUAAAAUGAAUGCAGAUUCUUCUGCUGUACUGGGACCACCUCUGCAAUUAAAAAAAAAAACCCCAUAUAUAUUCCCUGAAGCAUACUAAGAAAUUCUCCUGAAGUCAAACAGGAAGCUCCAAGAACUUCAGAAGGCAGGCAUUGCCUCUCCUCAAUUAUGACUGUAAAGAAAAGAAGUUUUGAUUCCCUUCAGCAACAGAAUGUGAUCAACAAGGAUGCAACAAGCAACAGUUUAUUUGUAGAAAAAUCCUUUAAAAUUUACUACAAUACGUAUAUCAGCAUCUCCCUCUGUGCUCUGCUGAUGAAUCCACCUGCAGAGAUUCACCUGAACUUUAUGAAAAAUUCCACAAGGAAAUGGGGUAAGAUGUUCCACAGGAACGAUUCUAACACCAC
Molecule: long non-coding RNA, 1033 nt
Organism: Pyrgilauda ruficollis (rufous-necked snowfinch)
Lineage: Eukaryota; Metazoa; Chordata; Aves; Passeriformes; Passeridae
Exons: 5
Source: RefSeq, a predicted model, not a curated record